RNAcentral lists this ribosomal RNA (365 nucleotides) under uncultured candidate division AD1 bacterium. RNAcentral's name for it is "bacterial SSU rRNA". It matches the Rfam family "Bacterial small subunit ribosomal RNA", at positions 127 to 493 of the family's 1533-position model. The record is from RNAcentral. Lineage: Bacteria; candidate division AD1.
UACCGAACUGUGGGGGAUAGCCGGCCUAACGGCCGAGUAAUACCGCAUACGCUCUCAGAGAGGCAUUUCUUUGAGAGGAAACCUACGGGACAGAUCGAGGGGCUCGCGGCCUAUCAGCUAGUUGGCGAGGUAACGGCUCACCAAGGCAACGACGGGUAGCUGGUCUGAGAGGAUGGCCAGCCACAUUGGGACUGAGAUACGGCCCAGACUCCUACGGGAGGCAGCAGUGGGGAAUCUUGCGCAAUGGCCUAACGGCUGACGCAGCGACGCCGCGUGUGGGAUGAAGCUCUUCGGAGUGUAAACCACUGUUGCCCGGGACGAACAGCUCGAUUAAUCGAGCCUGACGGUACCGGGUGAGGAAGCAC